RNAcentral lists this long non-coding RNA (2342 nucleotides) under Helianthus annuus (common sunflower). RNAcentral's name for it is "hypothetical non coding rna". The record is from RNAcentral. Lineage: Eukaryota; Viridiplantae; Streptophyta; Magnoliopsida; Asterales; Asteraceae.
UUGUGUGUGUGUUUGGUCGAACAACAUCAGGAGCAAAAAGGGGGUUCCCUUCCAAGAACCCUAACUCACGAAAAUUGCCAAAAUCAAAGAGAAAUCGUGCCGGGAAAUUGGGGCUUUUAAUAAAGUCGUGAUCACCAAGCUUAGGGGAUCACAAGUUUAACUCUUGACAAGCUGGAUGGAGGCUUGGGAGGAAGCGGGUCAAACAGAGCGAGUACGAAAAGAAAACGUUGUUUGGAUGCGAGAUAUGAUAGAGGAACGGUCUGAAGUAUGACAAGUGGAGCAUGCUCACCAAGGACUAAAUCGCGUAACGACCGCGAACAAGGUUAAUGGCAAGGAACGCCCGUCGGGGCAAGCAUUACCAGUUUGACUUUUGACAAGCUGGAUGGAGGCUUGGGAGGAAGCGGGUCAAACGGAGCGAGUACGAAAAGAAAACGUUGCUUGGAUGCGAGGUAAGUGAAACUUACACCUUGUUGUAGAAUACUUAAUUAUUCUAUAAGUUAUAAACUCGAUAGGGAUAAUAUUGGAAAUAUGGAUUCCGACGCAAUCAAUACGAGUCGGAACAGAUACAAAAUUGAUAAAAACCAUGAUGAAUGGUAAACAUGAGUAAAAGGUAAUUUAGCCGUGAAUGGCAAACAUAUAAUGAAUCUUGAGAUGUUACCGUAUGGGGUAACUCGUAAUAAGGAUAGGGAUAAAAUGGUAACUUAGUCGCGUGUCGACAAACAAAAGUUAAAGUUAUAAGACACCCUACGGUGUAAGCCGAAAUGGGUUAAAUAACGAAAUGGAAUAUAUAUGUGUAUAUAUAUAUAUAUAUACCAUUCCAAAUACAAAUGCAAAAUGUUUGGUCGUUUAGACCAAACGAGUCAAAGGGUGAUUUUUAGCGCCAUUUGACAAAUAACAACUAAUGAGUAUUGUUGAGUCUAGUGCACACAGGAUAAAAACGGCUUAUGGAAAUUUACACCGCUAUAAAUUAUCGAAAUCAUUAAUGUGAGGUAUUAAACGGGUCAAUACUUGACCCGAGCCAGGUACGCAUGUUUUGUAUUGUAGUUAGAAGCAAUAUUUUGGUCAAUUAUUAGCGAAAGUCCUUUAUCGCAAAAUGAAGGAUUAAAUUUGACCAAAAAGCCCUUGAUGGGUAAAUAGGGCAAACAACCUUAAGAGUUGUUUAGAGAUAUACGUUUUAUUAAAUUAAGUCCUUAUGAUAUGUAUAAAAAAAUUGGAGAUAGGAUGUAAACUAAAAUGAAAGUGAUUCGAAGCUUUAAAGUGCUUAAAUACCCUUAAUGGGUCAAAAUAAGCACUUGAGCGUAAACGGGUUUUUAUUGUGUAAGAAACCCGUGAUUUGAGAUUAAUAUGAUAGGAGAUAUUGAAAUUAUGAAGUUCACGAGUUUAAAGAUCAAACCAACAUGUUUGUUUGAUAAAAUCACAAACGGGUCAAAAUUUGGUAAAAAGGGUAAUAAACCGAAGACUUAAAAGUCUGAAAUUUUGUUAAACCAGAUAUUGGAUAUUAACUCCAUAAGAUGGAGAAUUAAAUUACGGGCGUGUAGGAAAAAGAAUCACGUAAAACGGAUAUGUAGAUUUAAAGUUAUGCACGUUUUCGUAAAAAGAAUCGGAGCUGGAAAAUGCAGCAACAGCUGCAAAAUAUUCUGCCCAGUGAGCUACCGUAAGUUACGGUGGCUACCGUAACUUAUGGUAGAGAUUGAAGUUGUUACGGUGAUUCUGUACUGCCUUACGGCAGCCCCCCCUUAUGCUCAGAGGCUACCGUAGCUUACGGUAGCUACCGUAAGCUACGAUAGAGCCCAAAUUAAUUGACAAACUUUUCAUAUUUGUAGCCAUUCGGAACAGUUUCCGUUUAUUCUUUUUAAUUCUGCCUUUUUCUAAGGAUCCUAAUACACCCUUCGCUAUUGGGUGGUAUUGGUUAAUAAAUUGGCAUAGCGAAAUUGUUUAUAUGAAUCAAGUAACCAUCAUAAAUAAUGUUUAUGGUGGCCGAUUAUAAAAGACAAAGAAGAUGUCUAUUGCGCCCAGUGAGGGGCUUAUUAUCUGGCAAAAUAAAACUAUUCAUCUUGUCCAAUCUUGUAUUCGGACUUGAAUAACACUAUUAGAUCAUGUGAGACUAACUCAUUUCAUGUUUCGUGAAAUGUAGGUUUACUUUUGAAGUGUCGGAUGAUGAUCAAACCCAACGAAGAACCGGACACACGAGAUCAAAGCUUCUGCGAAUAGUUUCGUCGUCACGUUUCAAAUGGCGAAUUAAAUUACAAAAUGUUGGGAUGUUUUAUUUAGUGAAAUGUUUUAACAAACUCGUAUUUUUAAGUGUAUGUUUAAUAUUAUUACACUAUAAUUAAUCGAAAUUU